CAGCCGCCGCGGUAAUACAGAGGAUGCAAGCGUUAUCCGGAAUGAUUGGGCGUAAAGCGUCUGUAGGUGGCUUUUCAAGUCCGCCGUCAAAUCCCAGGGCUCAACCCUGGACAGGCGGUGGAAACUACCAAGCUGGAGUACGGUAGGGGCAGAGGGAAUCUCCGGUGGAGCGGUGAAAUGCGUUGAGAUCGGAAAGAACACCAACGGCGAAAGCGCUCUGCUGGGCCGACACUGACACUGAGAGACGAAAGCUAGGGGAGCAAAUGGGAUUAGAUACCCGCGUAGUCCCUGUCUCUUAUAC
RNAcentral lists this ribosomal RNA (301 nucleotides) under uncultured bacterium. Its description in RNAcentral is "partial 16S ribosomal RNA". It matches the Rfam family "Bacterial small subunit ribosomal RNA", at positions 509 to 807 of the family's 1533-position model. The record is from RNAcentral.